CUUCUCGUAGUGAUGUUC
This 18-nucleotide non-coding RNA is filed under the name Arabidopsis thaliana (thale cress). The record is from RNAcentral. Lineage: Eukaryota; Viridiplantae; Streptophyta; Magnoliopsida; Brassicales; Brassicaceae.